RNAcentral lists this ribosomal RNA (621 nucleotides) under uncultured bacterium. RNAcentral describes it as "bacterial SSU rRNA". It matches the Rfam family "Bacterial small subunit ribosomal RNA", at positions 338 to 951 of the family's 1533-position model. The record is from RNAcentral.
CCUACGGGAGGCAGCAGUGGGGAAUUUUGGACAAUGGGCGCAAGCCUGAUCCAGCAAUGCCGCGUGAGUGAAGAAGGCCUUCGGGUUGUAAAGCUCUUUUGUCAGGGAAGAAACGGUGGAGGUUAAUACCUUCUGCUAAUGACGGUACCUGAAGAAUAAGCACCGGCUAACUACGUGCCAGCAGCCGCGGUAAUACGUAGGGUGCAAGCGUUAAUCGGAAUUACUGGGCGUAAAGCGUGCGCAGGCGGUUGUGCAAGACAGAUGUGAAAUCCCCGGGCUCAACCUGGGAAUUGCAUUUGUGACUGUACGGCUAGAGUGUGUCAGAGGGGGGUAGAAUUCCACGUGUAGCAGUGAAAUGCGUAGAGAUGUGGAGGAAUACCGAUGGCGAAGGCAGCCCCCUGGGAUAACACUGACGCUCAUGCACGAAAGCGUGGGGAGCAAACAGGAUUAGAUACCCUGGUAGUCCACGCCCUAAACGAUGUCUACUAGUUGUCGGGUCUUUAUUGACUUGGUAACGCAGCUAACGCGUGAAGUAGACCGCCUGGGGAGUACGGUCGCAAGAUUAAAACUUAAAUGAAUUGACGGCUUGAGAGUAGACGACGACGACGACGAGGGAGGAGG